AUGCAAAUACCACUGGUCAAUGGCAGGGAGGGUUUGCGUGGUUCACAGGAUCCAGCCAAAUGGUUCCCCCCAUGCAUACAGAAGCUGGAAGCUCUCAGUUCCAAGGAUCGUUUUCCGCUCUCCACCUGCAGGGGGAUGUAUCAAAUGUCCAUGAAUGAAAACACACAACCACAAGGACCAAGCUUUCUCGAAAUGUUAGGCCAUGGAGAUUGGUUGUUCAAUCAACCACCUAUCAUGCAACCACAAACAACAGGAAUGUACAACCCCGAACAAAUGAUGGGAUAUGCCGGCAGCAUACAGUCAUACGGAGAACCAUGUAGCUACGGUGGGGGCUCGUCAACAGCACAACACGACAUAGGACCAUUGCAACAUGAUGAACCACCACCAAUAACUCAGCCAGCCCAAGACUACGACGAUGUUGAUCUCCGCGGUGUUGAAGUCGUCCGUAGGUCUGUCCGCGAGCGAUAUUCACCUGAAAGAUUAUCUUUGUCAGGGCGCAGACCUCCAACUGGUGCUAGAAGAAAGUGUCACGUCCUGAUAAAUUCAUCCGCUUCAAACAGCAACCAGAAGGAAGCUUCUCCUGUGAAUGAUAGCAAUACGCAGUCCUAACACAUCAUCA
RNAcentral lists this long non-coding RNA (619 nucleotides) under Oryza sativa Indica Group (long-grained rice). RNAcentral's name for it is "lncRNA OsMH63_02G003630". Lineage: Eukaryota; Viridiplantae; Streptophyta; Magnoliopsida; Poales; Poaceae. The record is from RNAcentral.